GCUCCCGUGGUGUAGUGGCAAUCAUCUUAGACUUUCUAUCUAUUGUCCUGGGUUCAAAUCCCGGCGGGAGUACCA
RNAcentral lists this transfer RNA (75 nucleotides) under Promethearchaeota archaeon. RNAcentral's name for it is "Candidatus Lokiarchaeota archaeon (microbial mat metagenome) tRNA-Glu". It matches the Rfam family "tRNA". From Rfam's summary of the family: Transfer RNA (tRNA) molecules are approximately 80 nucleotides in length. The record is from RNAcentral. Lineage: Archaea; Promethearchaeati; Promethearchaeota.